GGCCUCGUGGUCUAGUGGUAUGAUUCUCGCUUCGGGUGCGAGAGGUCCCGGGUUCAGAUUCCCGGUGAGGCCC
RNAcentral lists this transfer RNA (73 nucleotides) under Phytophthora infestans T30-4. It matches the Rfam family "tRNA". Rfam says of the family: Transfer RNA (tRNA) molecules are approximately 80 nucleotides in length. Their secondary structure includes four short double-helical elements and three loops (D, anti-codon, and T loops). The record is from Rfam by way of RNAcentral. Lineage: Eukaryota; Oomycota; Peronosporomycetes; Peronosporales; Peronosporaceae.